CCUACGGGGGGCAGCAGUGAGGAAUAUUGCGCAAUGGGGGAAACCCUGACGCAGCGACGCCGCGUGAGUGAGGAAGGCCUUCGGGUCGUAAAGCUCUGUCAAGAGGAAAGAAGUGUACAAUGGCUAAUACCUGUUGUAUUUGACGGUACCUCUAAAGGAAGCACCGGCUAACUCCGUGCCAGCAGCCGCGGUAAUACGGAGGGUGCAAGCGUUGUUCGGAAUCACUGGGCGUAAAGGGCGCGUAGGCGGCUUGGUAGGUCAGAUGUGAAAGCCCACGGCUUAACUGUGGAAGUGCAUUUGAAACUGUCAGGCUUGAGUACCAGAGGGGAAAGUGGAAUUCCCGGUGUAGAGGUGAAAUUCGUAGAUAUCGGGAGGAAUACCGGUGGCGAAGGCGGAGUACUAGACCAUAGUUGACGCUGAGGCACGAAAGCGUGGGGGUCAAACAGGAUUAGAUACCCGAGUAG
This 464-nucleotide ribosomal RNA is filed under the name uncultured Desulfobulbus sp. RNAcentral's name for it is "bacterial SSU rRNA". It matches the Rfam family "Bacterial small subunit ribosomal RNA", at positions 338 to 793 of the family's 1533-position model. The record is from RNAcentral. Lineage: Bacteria; Pseudomonadati; Thermodesulfobacteriota; Desulfobulbia; Desulfobulbales; Desulfobulbaceae.